UGGGGAAUAUUGCACAAUGGGCGCAAGCCUGAUGCAGCCAUGCCGCGUGUGUGAAGAAGGCCUUCGGGUUGUAAAGCACUUUCAGCGAGGAGGAAGGUGGUGAACUUAAUACGUUCAUCAAUUGACGUUACUCGCAGAAGAAGCACCGGCUAACUCCGUGCCAGCAGCCGCAGUAAUACGGAGGGUGCAAGCGUUAAUCGGAAUUACUGGGCGUAAAGCGCACGCAGGCGGUUUGUUAAGUCAGAUGUGAAAUCCCCGGGCUCAACCUGGGAACUGCAUUUGAAACUGGCAAGCUAGAGUCUCGUAGAGGGGGGUAGAAUUCCAGGUGUAGCGGUGAAAUGCGUAGAGAUCUGGAGGAAUACCGGUGGCGAAGGCGGCCCCCUGGACGAAGACUGACGCUCAGGUGCGAAAGCGUGGGGAGCAAACAGGAUUAGAUACCCUGGUAGUCCACGCUGUAAACGAUGUCGAUUUGGAGGUUGUGCCCUUGAGGCGUGGCUUCCGGAGCUAACGCGUUAAAUCGACCGCCUGGGGAGUACGGCCGCAAGGUUAAAACUCAAAGGAAUUGACGGGGUC
Molecule: ribosomal RNA, 573 nt
Filed under: uncultured bacterium
Lineage: Bacteria
Description: partial 16S ribosomal RNA
Rfam family: Bacterial small subunit ribosomal RNA
Source: RNAcentral